This 2773-nucleotide ribosomal RNA is filed under the name Escherichia coli. Its description in RNAcentral is "bacterial LSU rRNA". It matches the Rfam family "Bacterial large subunit ribosomal RNA". Lineage: Bacteria; Pseudomonadati; Pseudomonadota; Gammaproteobacteria; Enterobacterales; Enterobacteriaceae. The record is from RNAcentral.
AGCGUACACGGUGGAUGCCCUGGCAGUCAGAGGCGAUGAAGGACGUGCUAAUCUGCGAUAAGCGUCGGUAAGGUGAUAUGAACCGUUAUAACCGGCGAUUUCCGAAUGGGGAAACCCAGUGUGUUUCGACACACUAUCAUUAACUGAAUCCAUAGGUUAAUGAGGCGAACCGGGGGAACUGAAACAUCUAAGUACCCCGAGGAAAAGAAAUCAACCGAGAUUCCCCCAGUAGCGGCGAGCGAACGGGGAGCAGCCCAGAGCCUGAAUCAGUGUGUGUGUUAGUGGAAGCGUCUGGAAAGGCGCGCGAUACAGGGUGACAGCCCCGUACACAAAAAUGCACAUGCUGUGAGCUCGAUGAGUAGGGCGGGACACGUGGUAUCCUGUCUGAAUAUGGGGGGACCAUCCUCCAAGGCUAAAUACUCCUGACUGACCGAUAGUGAACCAGUACCGUGAGGGAAAGGCGAAAAGAACCCCGGCGAGGGGAGUGAAAAAGAACCUGAAACCGUGUACGUACAAGCAGUGGGAGCACGCUUAGGCGUGUGACUGCGUACCUUUUGUAUAAUGGGUCAGCGACUUAUAUUCUGUAGCAAGGUUAACCGAAUAGGGGAGCCGAAGGGAAACCGAGUCUUAACUGGGCGUUAAGUUGCAGGGUAUAGACCCGAAACCCGGUGAUCUAGCCAUGGGCAGGUUGAAGGUUGGGUAACACUAACUGGAGGACCGAACCGACUAAUGUUGAAAAAUUAGCGGAUGACUUGUGGCUGGGGGUGAAAGGCCAAUCAAACCGGGAGAUAGCUGGUUCUCCCCGAAAGCUAUUUAGGUAGCGCCUCGUGAAUUCAUCUCCGGGGGUAGAGCACUGUUUCGGCAAGGGGGUCAUCCCGACUUACCAACCCGAUGCAAACUGCGAAUACCGGAGAAUGUUAUCACGGGAGACACACGGCGGGUGCUAACGUCCGUCGUGAAGAGGGAAACAACCCAGACCGCCAGCUAAGGUCCCAAAGUCAUGGUUAAGUGGGAAACGAUGUGGGAAGGCCCAGACAGCCAGGAUGUUGGCUUAGAAGCAGCCAUCAUUUAAAGAAAGCGUAAUAGCUCACUGGUCGAGUCGGCCUGCGCGGAAGAUGUAACGGGGCUAAACCAUGCACCGAAGCUGCGGCAGCGACGCUUAUGCGUUGUUGGGUAGGGGAGCGUUCUGUAAGCCUGUGAAGGUGUGCUGUGAGGCAUGCUGGAGGUAUCAGAAGUGCGAAUGCUGACAUAAGUAACGAUAAAGCGGGUGAAAAGCCCGCUCGCCGGAAGACCAAGGGUUCCUGUCCAACGUUAAUCGGGGCAGGGUGAGUCGACCCCUAAGGCGAGGCCGAAAGGCGUAGUCGAUGGGAAACAGGUUAAUAUUCCUGUACUUGGUGUUACUGCGAAGGGGGGACGGAGAAGGCUAUGUUGGCCGGGCGACGGUUGUCCCGGUUUAAGCGUGUAGGCUGGUUUUCCAGGCAAAUCCGGAAAAUCAAGGCUGAGGCGUGAUGACGAGGCACUACGGUGCUGAAGCAACAAAUGCCCUGCUUCCAGGAAAAGCCUCUAAGCAUCAGGUAACAUCAAAUCGUACCCCAAACCGACACAGGUGGUCAGGUAGAGAAUACCAAGGCGCUUGAGAGAACUCGGGUGAAGGAACUAGGCAAAAUGGUGCCGUAACUUCGGGAGAAGGCACGCUGAUAUGUAGGUGAAGUCCCUCGCGGAUGGAGCUGAAAUCAGUCGAAGAUACCAGCUGGCUGCAACUGUUUAUUAAAAACACAGCACUGUGCAAACACGAAAGUGGACGUAUACGGUGUGACGCCUGCCCGGUGCCGGAAGGUUAAUUGAUGGGGUUAGCGCAAGCGAAGCUCUUGAUCGAAGCCCCGGUAAACGGCGGCCGUAACUAUAACGGUCCUAAGGUAGCGAAAUUCCUUGUCGGGUAAGUUCCGACCUGCACGAAUGGCGUAAUGAUGGCCAGGCUGUCUCCACCCGAGACUCAGUGAAAUUGAACUCGCUGUGAAGAUGCAGUGUACCCGCGGCAAGACGGAAAGACCCCGUGAACCUUUACUAUAGCUUGACACUGAACAUUGAGCCUUGAUGUGUAGGAUAGGUGGGAGGCUUUGAAGUGUGGACGCCAGUCUGCAUGGAGCCGACCUUGAAAUACCACCCUUUAAUGUUUGAUGUUCUAACGUGGACCCGUGAUCCGGGUUGCGGACAGUGUCUGGUGGGUAGUUUGACUGGGGCGGUCUCCUCCUAAAGAGUAACGGAGGAGCACGAAGGUUGGCUAAUCCUGGUCGGACAUCAGGAGGUUAGUGCAAUGGCAUAAGCCAGCUUGACUGCGAGCGUGACGGCGCGAGCAGGUGCGAAAGCAGGUCAUAGUGAUCCGGUGGUUCUGAAUGGAAGGGCCAUCGCUCAACGGAUAAAAGGUACUCCGGGGAUAACAGGCUGAUACCGCCCAAGAGUUCAUAUCGACGGCGGUGUUUGGCACCUCGAUGUCGGCUCAUCACAUCCUGGGGCUGAAGUAGGUCCCAAGGGUAUGGCUGUUCGCCAUUUAAAGUGGUACGCGAGCUGGGUUUAGAACGUCGUGAGACAGUUCGGUCCCUAUCUGCCGUGGGCGCUGGAGAACUGAGGGGGGCUGCUCCUAGUACGAGAGGACCGGAGUGGACGCAUCACUGGUGUUCGGGUUGUCAUGCCAAUGGCACUGCCCGGUAGCUAAAUGCGGAAGAGAUAAGUGCUGAAAGCAUCUAAGCACGAAACUUGCCCCGAGAUGAGUUCU